AGGGAAUCUUCGGCAAUGGACGCAAGUCUGACCGAGCAACGCCGCGUGAGUGAAGAAGGUUUUCGGAUCGUAAAACUCUGUUGUUAGAGAAGAACAAGGAUGAGAGUAAAAUGUUCAUCCCUUGACGGUAUCUAACCAGAAAGCCACGGCUAACUACGUGCCAGCAGCCGCGGUAAUACGUAGGUGGCAAGCGUUGUCCGGAUUUAUUGGGCGUAAAGCGAGCGCAGGCGGUUUCUUAAGUCUGAUGUGAAAGCCCCCGGCUCAACCGGGGAGGGUCAUUGGAAACUGGGGAACUUGAGUGCAGAAGAGGAGAGUGGAAUUCCAUGUGUAGCGGUGAAAUGCGUAGAUAUAUGGAGGAACACCAGUGGCGGAGGCGGCUCUCUGGUCUGUAACUGACGCUGAGGCUCGAAAGCGUGAGGAGCAAAC
Molecule: ribosomal RNA, 426 nt
Filed under: uncultured bacterium
Lineage: Bacteria
Description: bacterial SSU rRNA
Rfam family: Bacterial small subunit ribosomal RNA
Source: RNAcentral